AGUCAUCAGUCACAUAGAGGGGGUCUUGUCCUGUUCCUGCAGUCAUCAGUCACAUAGAGGGGUCUUGUCCUGCUCCUGCAUUCAUCAGUCACAUAGAGGGGUCUUGUCCUGUUCCUGCAGUCAUCAGUCACAUAGAGGGUCUUGUCCUGCUCCUGCAUUCAUCAGUCACAUAGAGGUGUCCUGUUCCUGCAUUCAUCAGUCACAUAGAGGGUCUUGUCCUGUUCCUGCAUUCAUCAGUCACAUAGAGGGGUCUUGUCCUGCUCCUGCAGUCAUCAGUCACAUAGAGGGGGUCUUGUCCUGCUCCUGCAGUCAUCUGUCACAUAGAGGGGUCUUGUCCUGCUCCUGCAGUCAUCUGUCACAUAGAGGGGUCUUGUCCUGCUCCUGCAGUCAUCAGUCACAUAGAGGGGUCUUGUCCUGCUCCUGCAGUCAUCUGUCACAUAGAGGGGUCUUGUCCUGUUCCUGCAUUCAUCAGUCACAUGGAGGGGGGUCUUGUCCUG
Long non-coding RNA from Oncorhynchus keta (chum salmon), 497 nucleotides. RefSeq lists it as uncharacterized. The transcript has 4 exons. NCBI's taxonomy places the organism in Eukaryota, Metazoa, Chordata, Actinopteri, Salmoniformes, Salmonidae. The record is from RefSeq and is a predicted model, not a curated record.